AGAACCUGGACGUCGGUGCGGAGCUGGUGCGGUUGGGCUUCGCCGUCCCCGCUCCCCAGGAGGAAGAAGGGGCAGGGGGUGAUGGCCCCCCCCAGCCGGCCCAGGACCCCCCCCCGGAGAACGGCACCGGUGCCUCCCUGGAGCCCCGGAAAAGUCCCGGUGAGACCCCCCCGGUCUGCACCAGCCUCCCGGGUGCCGGUGCUGGCGGGGACGGCGGGAGGACGGCGAGCAGCCCCUCGUGAGCCCCAGCCGGGAUCCGGUGCCCGUUUCCAUCCCGGUUUGUGUCCAGUGGUUACCGGCCCUUUUCCUCUCUUAACGGCCGUGCUGGCCACGGGGCUGUGUCCCCUCCCCGGGAUAACCGGGGCUCUGCUCCGCCGAGGGAUGGCGAUGUCGGUGCUACCGUUACCGGGAGGGUCUCCGAGAGCUCCCGGUUGCUCCCGGUCCCGGUUACCGGCUUCCCCUUGGAUUGUUUUCACCCCAGCCCGGUUCUGUGGCGAGGGGAAGGCGCCACGUUGGUGCCCUGAUUUAAUAAAAUUGAAUGUUUUGGA
Calidris pugnax (ruff) is the source of this 548-nucleotide long non-coding RNA. RefSeq lists it as uncharacterized. The transcript has 3 exons. The record is from RefSeq and is a predicted model, not a curated record. Lineage: Eukaryota; Metazoa; Chordata; Aves; Charadriiformes; Scolopacidae.